AAUGGGCGCAAGCCUGAACCAGCGAUGCCGCGUGAGUGAUGAAGGCCUUCGGGUUGUAAAGCUCUGUGGGGAGGGACGAAAGAAUCGGUUCUAACAGGACCGAAGUUGACGGUACCUCCUUAGCAAGCACCGGCUAACUCUGUGCCAGCAGCCGCGGUAAGACAGAGGGUGCAAACGUUGCUCGGAAUUACUGGGCGUAAAGGGCGUGUAGGCGGGAAGGUAAGUCGGGCGUGAAAUCCCCAAGCUCAACUUGGGAACUGCACUCGAAACUACCUUUCUUGAGUGCCGGAGAGGAAAGCGGAAUUCCUGGUGUAGAGGUGAAAUUCGUAGAUAUCAGGAGGAACACCAGUGGCGAAGGCGGCUUUCUGGACGGUGACUGACGCUGAGACGCGAAAGCGUGGGGAGCAAA
RNAcentral lists this ribosomal RNA (409 nucleotides) under uncultured bacterium. Its description in RNAcentral is "bacterial SSU rRNA". It matches the Rfam family "Bacterial small subunit ribosomal RNA", at positions 370 to 772 of the family's 1533-position model. The record is from RNAcentral.